GGCCUGUUGUAAGAGGAAGGCAGAGGUGAAGACGAGGGGGGAGAGGAGGAAACUGUGUGUUCAAGGGAUGGGGGAGGAGCGGACGCAGAGAACGACACAGGAAAAGAGGGAAAGAGCCGCCAGCUGCCGAGCAUCAGAGAAAAGAAAAAGGAGAGUGAUUGAGUACAAAGAGAGAAUAUGUUAGACUGGGUUGGCUGAGCUGGAGGAUAUGGAGGGAUUAAGUAUCUUUCAAAGUGAAGCCCAGGGUAGAAAACUUCCCAAACAAAAAGAAAAGACAUUGAGUUGGUUAUAAAUAAAGAAAAGUGAACAUGUCCACAGACUUUAUCAGGUGUUGUUUAUACGGUUGGGAUGUUUUACUAUUUAUUAGAUCACAAUAAUGAUAAUAAGCUAUUAUCACUUUCGAUUUGGAGACACUAAAAUCCUUUUUACAAAUUUGUAUUUCUUACUACAUUUCCCCUUGUGCUGCCACCUCCUUGUGCUGCUGUGUCAAUUGUGGAUUUCCUCUAUAGACGAUCAAUAAAGGUACAUCUGAUCUUA
This is a long non-coding RNA of Hippoglossus stenolepis (Pacific halibut), 537 nucleotides long. RefSeq lists it as uncharacterized. Lineage: Eukaryota; Metazoa; Chordata; Actinopteri; Pleuronectiformes; Pleuronectidae. The record is from RefSeq and is a predicted model, not a curated record. The transcript has 2 exons.